UGGGGAAUAUUGGACAAUGGGGGGAACCCUGAUCCAGCCAUGCCGCGUGUGUGAAGAAGGCCUUAUGGUUGUAAAGCACUUUAAGCGAGGAGGAGGCUACUAGUAUUAAUACUACUGGAUAGUGGACGUUACUCGCAGAAUAAGCACCGGCUAACUCUGUGCCAGCAGCCGCGGUAAUACAGAGGGUGCGAGCGUUAAUCGGAUUUACUGGGCGUAAAGCGUGCGUAGGCGGCCAUUUAAGUCAAAUGUGAAAUCCCCGAGCUUAACUUGGGAAUUGCAUUCGAUACUGGAUGGCUAGAGUAUGGGAGAGGAUGGUAGAAUUCCAGGUGUAGCGGUGAAAUGCGUAGAGAUCUGGAGGAAUACCGAUGGCGAAGGCAGCCAUCUGGCCUAAUACUGACGCUGAGGUACGAAAAGCAUGGGGAGCAAAACAGGAUUAGAUACCCUGGUAGUCCAUGCCGUAAACGAUGUCUACUAGCCGUUGGGGCCUUUGAGGCUUUAGUGGCGCAGCUAACGCGAUAAGUAGACCGCCUGGGGAGUACGGUCGCAAGACUAAAACUCAAAGGAAUUGACGGGGUCAUAGCUGUUUCCUG
Molecule: ribosomal RNA, 590 nt
Filed under: uncultured bacterium
Lineage: Bacteria
Description: partial 16S ribosomal RNA
Rfam family: Bacterial small subunit ribosomal RNA
Source: RNAcentral